RNAcentral lists this long non-coding RNA (211 nucleotides) under Capsicum annuum. RNAcentral describes it as "long non-coding RNA (CANN_LNC016721)". Lineage: Eukaryota; Viridiplantae; Streptophyta; Magnoliopsida; Solanales; Solanaceae. The record is from RNAcentral.
UAAGACCCAUGUGUUAUUUUUAGCUCCUAAACACUUCAUUAGCGUGCAAACAACUCCUUACUUCAUUGUUAUUGCAUUGAUUGCCUAUUUACAUGUCUCUUAUUGAUAGAUCAUUGUUUCAAGGUACCAUAAUGUUAUGACCACCGAAGUAACAAUCUCAAAGGCUAAUUAAACUAAGUAACGAAAAUCUGUAAAACAGGUGGCAGCUCAG